RNAcentral lists this ribosomal RNA (497 nucleotides) under uncultured bacterium. Its description in RNAcentral is "partial 16S ribosomal RNA". It matches the Rfam family "Bacterial small subunit ribosomal RNA", at positions 28 to 507 of the family's 1533-position model. The record is from RNAcentral.
GAUGAACGCUGGCGGCGUGCCUAAUACAUGCAAGUCGAGCGAACAGAUAAGGAGCUUGCUCCUUUGACGUUAGCGGCGGACGGGUGAGUAACACGUGGAUAACCUACCUAUAAGACUGGGAUAACUUCGGGAAACCGGAGCUAAUACCGGAUAACAUAUUGAACCGCAUGGUUCAAUAGUGAAAGGCGGCUUUGCUGUCACUUAUAGAUGGAUCCGCGCCGUAUUAGCUAGUUGGUAAGGUAACGGCUUACCAAGGCAACGAUACGUAGCCGACCUGAGAGGGUGCUCGCCCCAACGGAAACGGAGACGGGGCCCAGACUCCUACGGGAGGAAGCAGGAGGGAAUCCGCCGCAGUGGGCGAACGCGUGACGGAGCAACGCGGGGUGAGGGAUGAAGGUCGUCGGAUCGUAAAACUUUGUUAUGAGGGAAGAACAAAUGUGUAAGUACCGGGGCACAUCUGGCGGGGCCGGGAGAAAAAGGCCAGGGCAAACUCCGUG